ACGAUGGAUAGGGGUUCUGAGAGGAAGGUCCCCCACAUUGGAACUGAGACACGGUCCAAACUCCUACGGGAGGCAGCAGUGAGGAAUAUUGGUCAAUGGGCGAGAGCCUGAACCAGCCAAGUAGCGUGAAGGAUGAAGGCUCUAUGGGUCGUAAACUUCUUUUAUAUGGGAAUAAAGUUUUCCACGUGUGGAAUUUUGUAUGUACCAUAUGAAUAAGGAUCGGCUAACUCCGUGCCAGCAGCCGCGGUAAUACGGAGGAUCCGAGCGUUAUCCGGAUUUAUUGGGUUUAAAGGGAGCGUAGGUGGAUUGUUAAGUCAGUUGUGAAAGUUUGCGGCUCAACCGUAAAAUUGCAGUUGAAACUGGCAGUCUUGAGUACAGUAGAGGUGGGCGGAAUUCGUGGUGUAGCGGUGAAAUGCUUAGAUAUCACGAAGAACUCCGAUUGCGAAGGCAGCUCACUAGACUGUCACUGACACUGAUGCUCGAAAGUGUGGGUAUCAAACAGGAUUAGAUACCCUGGUAGUCCACACAGUAAACGAUGAAUACUCGCUGUUUGCGAUAUACAGUAAGCGGCCAAGCGAAAGCAUUAAGUAUUCCACCUGGGGAGUACGCCGGCAACGGUGAAACUCAAAGGAAUUGACGGGGGCCCGCACAAGCGGAGGAACAUGUGGUUUAAUUCGAUGAUACGCGAGGAACCUUACCCGGGCUUAAAUUGCAACAGAAUAUAUUGGAAACAGUAUAGCCGUAAGGCUGUUGUGAAGGUGCUGCAUGGUUGUCGUCAGCUCGUGCCGUGAGGUGUCGGCUUAAGUGCCAUAACGAGCGCAACCCUUAUCUUUAGUUACUAACAGGU
RNAcentral lists this ribosomal RNA (847 nucleotides) under Bacteroides ovatus. RNAcentral's name for it is "bacterial SSU rRNA". It matches the Rfam family "Bacterial small subunit ribosomal RNA", at positions 276 to 1126 of the family's 1533-position model. The record is from RNAcentral. Lineage: Bacteria; Pseudomonadati; Bacteroidota; Bacteroidia; Bacteroidales; Bacteroidaceae.